This is an RNA transcript of Sapajus apella (tufted capuchin), 2031 nucleotides long. It is a transcript of the gene named zinc finger CCCH domain-containing protein 10-like, with no coding region annotated. Lineage: Eukaryota; Metazoa; Chordata; Mammalia; Primates; Cebidae. The record is from RefSeq and is a predicted model, not a curated record. The transcript has a single exon.
UGGGGUGGUGGAGACCCAAAGGAGCCCCGGACUUCACCUGAGCUACCUCAGUGGUCACCAAGAGUGGCAAGAUAAAGAAAACCCUGAGUUGGGCGGGACCAGGAUGCCUGAUCGGGACAGCUAUGCCAACGGCACCGGGAGCAGCAGUGGAGGCCCUGGAGGUGGUGGCAGCGAGAAGGCCAGUGGGGCAGGAGCAGGCAGUGGCGUGGCCAGCUCAGAUGCCAUCUGUAGAGACUUCUUGAGGAAUGUGUGCAAGUAAGGCAAGCGUUGCCAAUAUCGCCACCCAGACAUGAACGAGGUGUCCAACUUGGGGGUGAGCAAAAACAAGUUCAUCUUCUGCCAUGACUUCCAGAAUAAGGAGUGUAGCCGCCCAAACUGCCGUUUCAUCCAUGGCUCCAAGGAGGAUGAAGAUGGCUACAAGAAGACAGGAGAGCUUCCCCCACAGCUGAGACAGAAAGUAGCAGCUGACCUUGGCCUUUCUCCGGCUGACUUACCAAAUGGCAAGGAGGAGGUCCCUAUCUGCUGUGACUUUCUCAAGGGGGACUGUCAGAGAGGAGCUAAGUGCAAGUUCCGUCACCUGCAACGGGAUUUUGAGUUUGAUGCUCAGGGUGGCGGAGGCACUGGUGGGGGAUCAACAGGCUCAAUCCCCCCAGGACGACGUCAUGAUCUUCUAUUAUAUCUAUGACCUUCCUGACAGGGCCUUUGAGGACCAUGAGCCAGGCCCAAAACGCCGGCAAGGUGGAUGCUGCCCCCCUGAUGGUCCUCAUUUUGAGUCAUAUGAAUAUAGCUUGGCUCCACCGCGAGGGGUAGAGUGCAGACUGCUAGAGGAGGAGAAUGCCAUGCUCAGGAAGCGGGUAGAGGAACUAAAGAAGCAAGUCAGUAACCUGCUGGCCACCAAUGAGGUAUUACUGAAACAAAAUGCUUAGUUCCACAAUCAGGCUAAGGUCAUAACCCUGAGCUCCACUGCACCAGCGACUGAGCAGACUCUGGCCCCCACUGUGGGCACUGUCACUACUUUUAACCAUGGCAUUGCCCAGACUCACACGACUCUCAGCAGCCAGGCUCUACAGCCUCGUCCAGUGUCCCAGCAAGAACUGGUGGCCCCUGCUAGAACUCCAGCUGCUCCCCCAACUAACACUGCACCUCCUGCUGCUCCACCACCCCCACCCCCACACUUGAACCCAGAGAUCACACCACUGUCAGCUGCCCUGGCUCAAACAAUUGCCCAGGGAAUGGCACCCCCACCUGUCUCCAUGGCUCCUGUGGCUGUAUCUGUGGCUCCUGUGGCCCCUGUGGCCGUAUCGAUGGCCCAACCCUUGGCAGGAAUCACAAUGAGCCACACCACCACUCCCGUGGUAAUUUACCCUAUUGCUUCCCAGACCAUGCGCAUCACAGCCAUGCCACACUGAUGGGGCUAAUGGACACUCCCCUGGUAUAGCCUCCUGUGGCUGGGGUCAAGGAGCCCUUGCCCACUUUCCUAGCCCUCCCCAGCCCUGUCUGAAGGACUCCCUUGAGAACUAGGACAAGAGACUACAAGGAGUAGUCCUGAGGAGGGGCUGGGUUGGUGUGUUUUCUCUCACCUCCAUUUUAUGAGGGUCCUCUUGUCCAUCUUCAAGCCUCACAGUGGGGGCUUGCAGAGGAGUGCAGACUGAAGCCAAAAGAGAGGAAGGACUGACUCAGGGCCUGUGUCCUCUUAUGGGAAUUUGGGAAGAUCCCUCAUCUUGUCCUCUCUUCUACACAGCAUAGUUUCCAGCACUGGUUUUGGAAGAAAAAAAUACCCUGCCCAGAGGGAAAGCCAGGAAAGAUUGAGAAGUGGGUGGUCAGGAGAGAAGGCCUGAUAGGAGCCUUCAAACAAUUUGGGUCCUAGUUGGUUGGGUUGGACAAUACAGGAAUUGCUUCUGGGCCCUGGGAAUGCUGGGACCAUAGUGCUCCAGCCCAAAGACUAGGGGAGCAUUCAUUACCCUAGCUUGGCCUGAAAAUCCGUAGGGCAGGGCCCACUACUUUCCAAAGAAAUAAAAGAACAAUUAUUUU